ACGUCACUCCCCAUCAUUCUCCAUCUCGAUCCCGUCUCCUAGCAUGGCGGCAGCCGCCUUUUCAUGGCGACUACCUCUUCUUCUCCCUACCACGGAGUUAGCGGAACGGCAGUGGCCGCCUAUUCCUCUCCUCGGCACCACGCUGUAGCAGUGCCUCUUCCUCUCCCUGGCGCCACGGUGGUGACCUCUUCCUUUCCUCUGUGCGGCGGCCACCGGAUCCGGCUACCACGAGCUCGGGGGUGACCAGAUCCAGCCACCAUGAGCCUCUUCCUCUUUCCCGCGCGGCGGCGACAGCCUCUUUCUUUCCCCUACCAGACGCGGCAGCCACAAGAUCCAGCCAACACGACAGUGAGCGUAGGUUACUCCAACGCGGAGAGUGGGGCACUUCUAAUUGGAGUGCCAAAAUUUGUGAGUGGAUUUUUAUGACUUGUGUUGUGUGAUUUGUGCGGGGGAUGUUGUUGUUUGAUGGAUCGAUAGUGAUUUGUGUUGUGUUAUUUGGGGGAUAUUGUUGGAUUGAUUGAUUGUGGUAUGUGGAUGUAGGAUGGUCUAGGUGUGAUAGGGAGUGGCUCGAUGCAUCAGCUCAGAAUCGAGCCAACUUUUUUUUAUACUAGAAAAAAUGC
This 620-nucleotide small RNA is filed under the name Oryza sativa Japonica Group (Japanese rice). RNAcentral describes it as "sRNA Os02g0583900". The record is from RNAcentral. Lineage: Eukaryota; Viridiplantae; Streptophyta; Magnoliopsida; Poales; Poaceae.